AUCCACCUGACGGGUUCAAAAUGGGACGAAACGUACGUCUGGAU
RNAcentral lists this non-coding RNA (44 nucleotides) under Schistosoma mansoni. Lineage: Eukaryota; Metazoa; Platyhelminthes; Trematoda; Strigeidida; Schistosomatidae. The record is from RNAcentral.